Molecule: ribosomal RNA, 274 nt
Filed under: uncultured bacterium
Lineage: Bacteria
Description: partial 16S ribosomal RNA
Rfam family: Bacterial small subunit ribosomal RNA
Source: RNAcentral
AUACGGGGGGUGCAAGCGUUAAUCGGAAUUACUGGGCGUAAAGCGCGCGUAGGCGGUUAAAUAAGUUGGAUGCGAAAUCCCCGGGCUCAACCUGGGAACUGCAUUCAAAACUGUUUAACUAGAGUAUGGUAGAGGGAAGUGGAAUUCCAGGUGUAGCGGUGAAAUGCGUAGAUAUCUGGAGGAACAUCAGUGGCGAAGGCGACUUCCUGGAUCAAUACUGACGCUGAGGUGCGAAAGCGUGGGGAGCAAACAGGAUUAGAUACCCCAGUAGUCC